UUUGUUGUUCUUCACAAUGAGUUGGAGCUUUCUUUGGUCAACAGCAGAUGUGACUAAGAUGAUCACCCUGUUUCACUUAGAGCAGUGGAUCACAAAGUGUGGUCCUCAGGCCACACAGCUCGGCAUCACCUGCGAACUAGGAAAUGCAAGUUCUUAAGCAACCCCACCCAGACCUACUGAAUUGGAAGUGCUGAGGAUGGGUUCUGUGGUUGAACAAGCUCUGCAGAGGAGGAAACUGAAGCACAGAGAAGGUAACCUACUUGCACCAGGACAUACAUCUAGGAAUUAGCAGAUCUCAGAGCGGAACGCAGGUUUCCUGCUUGUUUCCAGUGACCAGGGACAAGACCUGGCUUAAUACUCUCCUCAUUUCUUUCCAUUUACAAGGACAAAGGCUGUUUUGCCACUGACAUGGGAUCUCCUCUUUCAUGAUGGAUCACAUUUCCAGUAAACUAGAGGCUUACUAUGCCAUGGAAAAGGCAGAUAUAUACAUUACAAGACAGUGAUAACAAGCGGAUACUAAUAAAACGCACAGACAUCCCCCCUCAUGCUGCCAAGACUAUAUACCAUUUUCUUUCCAUUACAUCCAUUUUUUUCUCCCCUUUUGUGAGCAUUAAUCAAAGAAAUGCAAAGAGCUCAUUAAAGUGAUAGAUUGACUGAAAAUGUAACCACCUUUUCAUUAUAAACAGUUUCUUUAUGUU
Macaca mulatta (Rhesus monkey) is the source of this 698-nucleotide non-coding RNA. The record is from RefSeq and is a predicted model, not a curated record. Lineage: Eukaryota; Metazoa; Chordata; Mammalia; Primates; Cercopithecidae.